UACGGAGGGUGCAAGCGUUAUCCGGAUUCACUGGGUUUAAAGGGUGCGUAGGCGGGCAGGUAAGUCAGUGGUGAAAUCCCCGAGCUUAACUUGGGAACUGCCGUUGAUACUAUCUGUCUUGAAUACCGUGGAGGUGAGCGGAAUAUGUCAUGUAGCGGUGAAAUGCUUAGAUAUGACAUAGAACACCAAUUGCGAAGGCAGCUCGCUACACGAAUAUUGACGCUGAGGCACGAAAGCGUGGGGAUCAAACAGG
This 253-nucleotide ribosomal RNA is filed under the name uncultured bacterium. Its description in RNAcentral is "partial 16S ribosomal RNA". It matches the Rfam family "Bacterial small subunit ribosomal RNA", at positions 524 to 776 of the family's 1533-position model. The record is from RNAcentral.